AGCAGCCGCGGUAAUUCCAGCUCCAAUAGCGUAUAUUAAAGUUGUUGCAGUUAAAAAGCUCGUAGUUGAAUUUCGGGGUUAGUAGGUUGGUCAUGCCUCUGGUAUGUACUGGUCUCACUGAUUCCUCCUUCCUGAUGAACCUUAAUGCCAUUAAUUUGGUGUUUUGGGGAAUUUGGACUGUUACUUUGAAAAAUUAGAGUGUUUAAAGCAAGCUAACGCUUGAAUACAUUAGCAUGGAAUAAUGAAAUAGGACGUUCGAUCCUAUUUUGUUGGUUUCUAGGAUUGACGUAAUGAUUAAUAGGGGUAGUUGGGGGCAUUAGUAUUCAAUUGUCAGAGGUGAAAUUCUUGGAUUUAUUGAAGACUAACUACUGCGAAAGCAUUUGCCAAGGAUGUUUUCAUUAAUCAAGAACGAAAGUUAGGGGAUCGAAGACGAUCAGAUACCGUCGUAGUCUUAACCAUAAACUAUGCCGACUAGGGAUCGGAUGAUGUUAAUUUUUAAUGACUCAUUCGGCGCCUUACG
Molecule: unclassified non-coding RNA, 520 nt
Filed under: uncultured Glomus
Lineage: Eukaryota; Fungi; Glomeromycota; Glomeromycetes; Glomerales; Glomeraceae
Description: SSU rRNA
Rfam family: Eukaryotic small subunit ribosomal RNA
Source: RNAcentral